GAUGAACGCUGACAGAAUGCUUAACACAUGCAAGUCAACUUGAACUUCGGUUUGGGUGGCGGACGGGUGAGUAACGCGUAAAGAACUUGCCUCACAGUUAGGGACAACAUUUGGAAACGAAUGCUAAUACCUGAUAUUAUGAUUUUAGGGCAUCCUAGAAUUAUGAAAGCUAUAUGCGCUGUGAGAGAGCUUUGCGUCCCAUUAGCUAGUUGGAGAGGUAACGGCUCACCAAGGCGAUGAUGGGUAGCCGGCCUGAGAGGGUGAACGGCCACAAGGGGACUGAGACACGGCCCUUACUCCUACGGGAGGCAACAGUGGGGAAUAUUGGACAAUGGACCAAGAGUCUGAUCCAGCAAUUCUGUGUGCACGAUGAAGUUUUUCGGAAUGUAAAGUGCUUUCAGUUGGGAAGAAAAAAAUGACGAUACCAACAGAAGAAGUGACGGCUAAAUACGUG
Molecule: ribosomal RNA, 454 nt
Filed under: uncultured bacterium
Lineage: Bacteria
Description: partial 16S ribosomal RNA
Rfam family: Bacterial small subunit ribosomal RNA
Source: RNAcentral